ACUCCUACGGGAGGCAGCAGUAGGGAAUAUUGGUUAAUGUGCGAAAGCGCGAACCAGCAACGCCGCGUGUGCGAUGAAGGCCUUCGGGUCAUAAAGCACUUUUUGCAGGGAAGAGGAAGGACGGUACCUGCAGAAUAAGUCUCGGCUAACUACGUGCCAGCAGCCGCGGUAAAACGUAGGGGACGAGCGUUAUCCGGAUUUACUGGGCGUAAAGCGCGUGCAGGCGGCAUGGCAAGUUGGAUGUGAAAGCUCCCGGCUUAACUGGGAGAGGUCGUUCAAUACUGCCAGGCUUGAGAGCGGUAGAGGGAAGCGGAAUUCCGGGUGUAGUGGUGAAAUGCGUAGAUAUCCGGAGGAACACCAGUGGCGAAAGCGGCUUCCUGGCCCAUUUCUGACGCUCAGACGCGAAAGCUAGGGUAGCAAACGGGAUUAGAGACCCCGGUAGUCCUAGCCGUAAACGAUGUGAACUUGGCGUUGGCGGGUUUAAAUCCGUCAGUGCCGUAGCUAACGCGAUAAGUUCACCGCCUGGGGACUACGGCCGCAAGGUUAAAACUCAAAGGAAUUGACGG
This 566-nucleotide ribosomal RNA is filed under the name uncultured bacterium. RNAcentral describes it as "bacterial SSU rRNA". It matches the Rfam family "Bacterial small subunit ribosomal RNA", at positions 335 to 916 of the family's 1533-position model. The record is from RNAcentral.